GAGGGAGGAAGGGUGGGAGGGAGGGAGGGGAGCAGAGUCUGGGGAGGAGAAGAUGUAUAUAGUAUUGGGGCUUGGGUUUUAUUUUUCAUUUGGUUUUUGUUUGGUUUUGUUCUUUUUUUUGAAAGAAAAAAAAGAUGUUUGAUUUCUAAUGUCUUGAUGUAAACCAAAUAAAAAUGGUUCUGUACAUUCAGAAGUAAAGAACAGCUGAAAGGUGACAAGUGUAAUAAAGAAGCACUGUCCUCCAGGCUGAUAUUAUAAACGCAUUUCCCCAGACUUUUCCCACAGGGGUUGGAGGGCAAACCUGUGCCUGUGCCUGUGCCUGUGCCUGUGCCUGUGCCUGUGCCUGUGCCUGUGCCUGCUCGGAGGCGCAGCCUGCCGGGGUGGUGACCUCAGGGCUGGCUCCCUGAUCCACCCCCAAGGGCCAUAAAGAAGAGGUGGGCAGUAGAGGUGGAAGUGAUGGUAUGUAAGUAACUUUUCAGUGUUUGAUCCCACCAUCCCUGAGGCCAAUGGGAGGAGGCUGUGUAUUAGAUGCUAAUCUCUUGCGCACAUGGUCUCUUCCUGGAGAGCCAACCUGCACUAUGCCUUAUUGUAUUUUGGGAUGUAGUGAAGGCGGUGAAGAUGAUAUCAGGUAUCACUUGCAUAAAUGAAGUAAUGCAGCUGGAGUAAAGGCAGUAUGAGCCUGAACUUUCUUUGAGAAGCUUUUGUUGCUGCUGCUGCUUUCCACCCUGUGAUUUAGCCUAGGGUGACAAGUGCUAGGAAAUGCCCAGCUGCUCAGAAGAAGUACAAAGCAAGCCCUCCAUGUGAAAAGAUUUAUCUUAAGACGCUUUGCAAUUCAAUAGAACCUUGCCUGUGGGUUUCUGGCUGUUUGUGAAGGAUGGGUUUGGAAGAGAGUGCAAAGCGGGGACCUUGUGUUAAGCUUAGUUAUCUUUUUUAGUGGCUAUUGGCCUUGCAGAGACAAAUUCUUCGUCAGAAGUACAAAUGAGUGGGCUCAAGUGUAGGGCACUGAUUGAAUUUGGACUGAGGGACACCUGGUUUCCAUGCAACUUCCAGUUAGCAGAAAUGAGUAAUGGGGAAUGCCAAGGAUGAUGAUGGUAGUGGGUCUGAGACAUAUGGGUAACCCUCUAUGUUACAAUCCAUCUUUGCCUGGACUGGGAGGAGCAUCAAGGGUAAAAAGAAAUAUGAGAAAUUGCCUGUCUUAUGUUGCCUAUCUUAUGUUUAGUGCUGUGGAAAAUCAGAGGACAGUGUUGCCUUCGUGGGGCAGAAGUGUGGCUUCUUUCUACAGCUGGGCUAAUGAAUGUUGUGUUACUACAGCAAGGCUAAAAGAAAAAAACUUUAUGUGGAAGGCAGACCAGAGGGAAGUCUGAAUCCUCUUAGGAAAGGCCAUUCUUCAGCAGUAAGUCUUCUCUCCCCUGCAGCUGCCACUCCAGCUAGAGUGCAUCAGGAUGGUGCAGCCACACAGGCCCUGACUUAGCCAUUUCUGCUGAUGAGCAGAUGGUGGGUAAGCAAGGACGGGUGUUUUGCAGAGACAAAACAAGGAGGAGUUUUGUGAGCAUGAGCUCCUGCACCCCAUUGUGCUCUAGACUAGAAAACCCUGGAACAAAAUGCGGUCUCUUGCUCCCAGAAGCUUAUGCUGUCAUCACCCUCCCUAGAGACAAUGGACCCAAACCUUCUGUUCUCAGCUCCAUGCUGUGGGCAGCCUGCUCCCAUCUAAGACAGCCAGAACUUGCCAGUGCCACAGGCACAAAGCACUUACAGAGUAGUAUUGAAUAUGUGUAUGGCAAAGUGGGGAGAUGAGAGGUGGUAGACCCACUUAUGAUACAGGGAUGCACAUAUUAUCAUUUGCACAGGCUGAGCUUGGCAUUUAUACUGGCAGACAUUUCCCCCAGAAAGGAUGAGAUAGCACAAUGGGGAUGGUGCAUUUGGUUCACCUCUUCUUUCUCAUCACCAUCCCCUGGCUGUGCCCAGGGCCAUGGAGCCUGUGCUGCUGCAGCACCAAGCCCUGCCAAGGCAAUGGCCUUUCCCAGCGAGACCAGAGGGUCUCAGUGGUGAGAGCAGGAGGCGAGCAGGUAACCCCUCACUGCAACAGUGGCUGUUGUGCAAUAUCAUGACAUGUCAGGUGGGAGGCCAAAGAGGAGGUGCACCUUAUGAGAGAGCUGGCACUGGCAUAGCUGGUGAUGCUUAACCUUGUUUCUCCAGAGACAGUGACCCACAGGACCUGAAGUUCUGGGGACCGCUGUGCUACCUGCCUCAGGGACAUCUGGGGACCCAUCAGGGGUGUUUUGAGCAGGAAUAUAUCUUUUGCUAGUGCAGCUUCCAGGCUGUUGUUAGAGAUCUCGCCAGCCUCACGCCCCAUGAAUUUGGAGGCAGAAAGGACAUGUGUCCCAGAGCCUCUCACAGGCAGAGACUGGGCAGAAAUCCUUGAGUUUCAGCCCCUGCCAAGGCUAGGUUUUGAUGAAGGAAGAGGUUAGCAAGGGAGGUGAGGUUGCCCCAACCUUUCUCUCUCCCAUUCCAAUUGCACUGAAGCAAGAAGGGGAUGGGCAAAGCAGAGAAACGUGGUGGGAUUAAACCUACACAGUACCCCAGUCCAGCAAAGCCCCAGCCCUUGCUCAAGUCUGAGCACAGGGGCAGACCUGAUGACUGCGCGUCUGCUUAAAAUCAUGCCUGGAUCUGACAGCUUCACUGGGUCAGGGCCAAUGUGCUUGGCAGGCCAAAAGGGAAGAUUCUUAGUGAGCAACCCCCUAGAAAGGCUCAGCAGUUGUCACAGAGAAGAGUUUCUAAGAUCUGGAAAGAUAAAUAGCUAGGUGCUGGAGAAGAAAAUUGGAAAACUGAGAAUAAAGGAAAGCCUCAACAGUAACCCAGAAACAUCCCAUCCGUUGGCAUGUACAUGUGACUCUGAUGGCAGGACCGUUGUCCAGUCUGCGGUAUUUUUUCUUUCCAUUGCCUGACAUGUCAUAAUAUUGUCUUUGUGUGAAAUCACAUCCCCUUUCAGAAGAGAAACCAGUUUCUGAAGGACAAAUGCCCUCUCACAAUGUGCUCACUAUGGGGAUGUUACGCCAAGAGGUAUGAAAGCAAACAAGAUUAGACCUCUAAGGCUGGGGCAUCCUUCCCAGGAAAAUCUAGAACAGUUAUGCCAAUGUCUCAUCCUCUCAAACUGCACCCAUCCAUCUUCCUCUCAAAGACGAAGAAGCGGCAACAACUUCUCUAACUGGGGACAUCUUAAGUGGCCUGAAAUUCAGACAAACAACUAACUGAACAACAACGACAACAGGACAGGGAGAUCAAUGUCAACGUCAAUGUAUACUAUCAAAGGGACUGCUGUGAACCAUCUUUACAUACUCUGAGUGGCUGCGUUGCAUCCUGUACAGUGUUACAAAAAAAAGAAACAAAAAACAACAAUAACAAAAAAAAAACAGAACAAAACACCCAUUUUUACGAUCUUUAAUUUGCAUUUUCUGCAUGAAAUAAGACCUUGAUCCUUGUCUUUUUUCACAAAAGCAGAUUCUGCUUUAACUAAUGUAAAAAAAAAAAGAAAGAAAAAUAAUGUUUCUAGCAAAGUGAUUUAGAUGUAGAAAAUUUUGUAUAAAAAAAAGGGAAAAAAAAAAAAAGGGAAAACCAACAAAGAAAUAAAAUAAAAUGACUUAAAGAGCCAUCUUUGUCUACUCGAGAGGUGAGAAGGUGUGAUUGGUGGGUGGCACUUUCUGCUCUCAGAGCCAUCCUGUGUCAGCCAGAGAGGCACCGGAGCCCAUGCCCCAUGCUGCCGGAGGGCUCCCAGGAAGGGUGUGCUCACCAAUUACCGCCGGGUGCUUUCAAAAACUGUCUCCUUCAUCUUCUUUUAGGGAGAGUGGGCAGGAGCGCAGGGGGAAGGGUGGGAGGGGGCAAGGAGAGUUGCUUUGAUUUUAUUUUGCGGUUUUGUUUGGGGUAUUUUUGUUCCUGCAGUGACAGUUUUUGAAAGGUGAUGAUGAACAAAAGUAAAAACAAACAAACUUGAAAAUAGUUUACAAUUUUGUACAAACCAUUAUAAAUACUAACAACAAAUGUUUUUAAAAAUGGUCCAUACCAGUGCCAAAAUAAUGUAAUGUGUACAUGAAUUUCUUCUUUUUUUUUUUUUGAAAAAGGUGUUGAAACACAAAAAUAUUUCUUUUUUAACAAAUGCUGUAUGUGGACAUAAAUGUACUUGAACGCUGUUAAUUAUUAAUUGGUUAGGAAUCUUUCUUGGGCUUUUGGGUUUGCUUUUUUUUUCCUACCCAGAACAAAAGUAACACUUAUAAAAUACAGCCUUUAAGGAGAAACAGUCAA
This is a long non-coding RNA of Harpia harpyja (harpy eagle), 4296 nucleotides long. RefSeq lists it as uncharacterized. The record is from RefSeq and is a predicted model, not a curated record. The transcript is spliced from 2 exons. Lineage: Eukaryota; Metazoa; Chordata; Aves; Accipitriformes; Accipitridae.